This 192-nucleotide ribosomal RNA is filed under the name uncultured soil bacterium. Its description in RNAcentral is "partial 16S ribosomal RNA". It matches the Rfam family "Bacterial small subunit ribosomal RNA", at positions 26 to 213 of the family's 1533-position model. The record is from RNAcentral.
AGGAUGAACGCUGGCGGCGUGCUUAACACAUGCAAGUCGAACGAUGAAGCCGGAGCUUGCUCUGGUGGAUUAGUGGCGAACGGGUGAGUAACACGUGAGUAACCUGCCCUUGACUCUGGGAUAAGCACUGGAAACGGUGUCUAAUACCGGAUACGAACUUCGACGGCAUCGUCAGGAGUUGGAAAGAAUUUC